Long non-coding RNA from Cyprinus carpio (common carp), 1389 nucleotides. Lineage: Eukaryota; Metazoa; Chordata; Actinopteri; Cypriniformes; Cyprinidae. The record is from Ensembl.
GUCAGUUUAUGCAUAACUUUUAUAUGGCAUUAAUGUGUAUUAUUUUUGUGGCAGAAAGGAAACCAGAGCUCCCUGUCAAAUGAAGAAUACAUUUUAAAAUUCUAUUUUGUUUAUAAAGCCCUCAAAAUUGUGUAUCCCUCAGUAUCUGACAAAACUCAUCCAUCUGUACACUCUUUCCAGAACUCUGAGAUCUUGUGAUCGGUGGCCUGAAACUUUGGAACAGCCUUCCUCUCCAUAUCAGAAUAGGUCCCUCUAUUUUCAUUUUUAAGUCUUCAUACUUAUUAUCUCUUGCUUUUAAUACUCAUUGACCAUUGGUUUGUACUAUUAUUGUUUGUUCCUUAUUACUGGUAGUUCUUAGUCUUUUUUUUUAUCUUGGACAGCACUUUAUCAACCUUGGUUCUUUUUAAAACAUUUUUCAUAAAUAUUGUAUAGUUUGUAAAACUAAAUUGCACCAAAUUUAGCUUUUUCCUUAACAUUUUUUUCUGUAUUGUUUAUAUCUUACAUUUUGAUCUUUAAUAGCCAAAUACAAUGUCAUCUUAAUAGUAUUGCAAUAUAUGUCUCCUAACAUCUUUAUUGUCAUACAGUAUGAAUCAUAUCCGCCAGAUUCUUGGUGAUACACAGACCUAUAAAAUCACAGACUUUUCACAAUUUAAGAAGGUUGCUAAGCCAUAUUGUGCUUUCUGUAUUACUUCAUUUGACAGGUACUUCAAAGACAUUGCUCGUGGUAAAAUAGCGCUGAUUGCGAAAUACAGGAUGUGUGAAUUAACUUGUGAGAUUCUUGAUAUGAGACUUUUCAUUCUCUGGACGAUAGUCGAUGCAGACACUCCGCUUGUGAUGUCGUUUGUUCCUAUGUGGAGAAUCACUAUUGUGUAGUUGUGCAGUUUCUCAAAGUGUUUCACGUGUUGUUGAACGGAUCUCACAAGAGUCGUGUUUGGAUGAAUCCAACAUUGUGCGUUUGGAAAGUAGUGCUCAAUAUCCCAACACACUGAGUCUGUGAGGAAGCAGACCUGAAGACCUGGAGAAGAACACAAAUACUUGUUUUAACUAUUCUCAGUAUGAAUUAUGGGUAUAUUGAAUGUUUAUUGAUAAAGUGUGUAUUAGUUGCUUACCUUUUGGAACGAUGAAUGUUCUUUUGCUGAUUGUAGUUCUUAUUGAGCUUUUAUCUAAAGAGACAUGGAGAAGGCAUGUUAAUAUGUUAGUACAGUGAUAUUUUUGUUUGUAAACGGCUUCUGAUGCUCUGAAUUUUAUUCAGUAUUGUUAUUAUAGCUUUCAUGUGCACUAACCAUCUGUUUGUUCCCCAUUAUCUUCUUGUUUCACUCUGAAUGCUUCUUCAAUAUUCACGUCUUCACUCUCCACCUUAAUAAAUGCCAUCUUUAUAAUAGAGUGUCA